This 505-nucleotide ribosomal RNA is filed under the name uncultured bacterium. RNAcentral's name for it is "partial 16S ribosomal RNA". It matches the Rfam family "Bacterial small subunit ribosomal RNA", at positions 28 to 507 of the family's 1533-position model. The record is from RNAcentral.
GACGAACGCUGGCGGCGUGCCUAAUACAUGCAAGUAGAACGCACAGUUUAUACCGUAGCUUGCUACACCAUAGACUGUGAGUUGCGAACGGGUGAGUAACGCGUAGGUAACCUGCCUGGUAGCGGGGGAUAACUAUUGGAAACGAUAGCUAAUACCGCAUAAUAUUAAUUAUUGCAUGAUAAUUGAUUGAAAGAUGCAACUGCAUCACUACCAGAUGGACCUGCGUUGUAUUAGCUAGUAGGUGAGGUAACGGCUCACCUAGGCGACGAUACAUAGCCGACCGGCGAGGGGGAUCGGCCACACUGGGACUGAGACACGGCCCAGACUCCUACGGGAGGCAGCAGGAGGGAAUCUUCGGCAAUGGACGAAAGUCUGACCGAGCAACGCCGCGGGAGUGAAGAAGGUUUUCGGAUCGUAAAGCUCGGUUGUAAGAGAAGAACGGGUGUGAGAGUGGAAAGUUCACACUGUGACGGUAUCUUACCAGAAAGGGACGGCUAACUACGUG